UCUUCCGUAGUAUAGUGGUCAGUAUGUGAGCUUGUCAAUCAACAAACGCUCGAGACCCGGGUUCAAUUCCCGGCGGGAGAG
Non-coding RNA from Chaetomium sp. MPI-CAGE-AT-0009, 81 nucleotides. The record is from the annotation of a GenBank genome assembly. NCBI's taxonomy places the organism in Eukaryota, Fungi, Ascomycota, Sordariomycetes, Sordariales, Chaetomiaceae.